GCGGACGAAGAGAAGCUUUCGUGGUGUGUAUAACACGCUCAAAACGCAUACAAGAUAUGCAGACAUCGUUCGCAGUAGACCCACACUAACAGAUAGCAGACGUGAUCGUGAACCAAGCAAAAUACCAAUACGAAUUUGAAAAGGUUUAGGAACAAGAGCAUUAAAGUAACACUCAAGGGAACAGCUCUGCAAAUGAUCUUUUACAAAUAAUGAAUAUUGGAAAUCAACUUUAUUCAAGUUUGUUACGAUUAGCCAGACAGGCAUAUUUAAUGCAGUCAGAAUUACCAAUAGCUUUAUAUGUGUUUGAUACUGAUUAUCAACUGCAAUACAGUGAAAGUUACUCUAGUACUGUUCACCAAGAAAUUGUUAUAGAGGGAUGUCGGUAUUGUACGUCUUUACCAAGAGCCUUUGAGUCGUUCAUGUCUGAAAGCUGCACCAAUUUCAUAUUAACAAUAGGGUGCAUUGCUGUUGCAACAUAUUGUAAUAGUAAUAUGGGGUUCAAAAUAUUUGAUUCUCUUGCUAGAGAUUUGUAUGGUAGAGGGUAGCCUCAAGGUACAUGUGUUCUUCUCGAUGUACUGUCUCCUGAUAGUUUAGUGCAUUAUUUUCAGAGUAUACAUAACAAUGAUAUAUUUGAAGUGAGAGGAAUACAAAUUUAGAAUAUUCAAAAUAGGAUGGUUUCUCAAAACAGUGUGAAUGAAACCAUAAACUUGAAUCUAAGUUGUGCUGUAGCUCUAUACUCUCUUUGCUACCCUAUGAUGAAAUCAUUUAAUUAGUGAAAUUACAACUCAUCCUUACCCACCAUUGUUGACAAAGGCAAAAAGAUGUGUCAUAAAUCAAGUUUAGAACAUAACCAGCUACCACCAGCUAAUCUUCUAAGAACCGUAGAAGUUUGUGGAACUGAAGUAAAUUUGGAUAAUCUGUUUGAGAGUGAGGGAUUAUUAACUGAUUCACUUCAAAGCAAGUCAACUGAAUCAUAAUAAUAUAUAAUAAUUAAUGCACAGGCGUUUUGAUAUACUGCAUCAUACUGCAGCUUCAUACUGCAUCAGUUGUAUCCUUAAACCCACAAAAAGAUCCAAAUCCAUGCCAUUAGAAAAAUACAAGAGAAAUAUAAUACUCCAGGGGAAUACAGAAUACUGUUUGCUACAUGUUCAUGUAAAGUAGUUGACAGAAAGGAGAAAAAACAAUUUAGGAAUAUGAAAAAUAAACAGGAAAUACAGAAAAAAAAUGUCCCAAAAAUACAAAACAAUGGAUACUGUUAAGAAACAAGACCUGCUAAAGAAAAUGGCACGACAAUACAAAAGUAUGGAUUUUGAUGAGAAAAAAGAGUUGUUAAAGAAGAAAGCAAAAGAAUACAAAACAAUGGACGCUGCUAUAAAACAAGAAGUACUUAAGAGACGCAAACAAAAAUGUGUUCGUAAGAACAAAACUGUAGAUUCAUGUAUUGAAGAGUUCCACAGAAAAAUAAAGGAAGGCCCAUAAUUUA
This is a long non-coding RNA of Pocillopora verrucosa, 1483 nucleotides long. RefSeq lists it as uncharacterized. The record is from RefSeq and is a predicted model, not a curated record. NCBI's taxonomy places the organism in Eukaryota, Metazoa, Cnidaria, Anthozoa, Scleractinia, Pocilloporidae.